CUUGGUGUAAUUCUAUUUUUUCUUUCUGCCAAGCUGGUAAUAUCAAUAGAAGAGCUGUAGAAACAGAGAAAUAUUUCUGCCACUGCUGAUGAGUUUAAUGCUGUGUCUUCCAGUCCUAGAGAUGUACAGCAAACUGAGGGUCCAGAUGAAAAGCAAAAGGUCUAAUUGAAGACAGAUUCAACACACAAGUGGAAGUAGAAAAGAAGAUGAUGCAGCCUGCCCCCAUCACAGCCCAGGAUAUCAGAGAACAGGAAAGCCAUCAUGAAUGCCUGAAACUUACUGAAGCCCAAAGAGAAGGCUCCAUGCAUACCAGGGAAUGGGCCAUGAUUGCGUUAGGUGCUCUCAUAGACUUCACUGUCAUACAUCUAUUGUUGUACCCAAACUCCGGACCCCACAAAAUUCUACCAAGAGACCAAAUCUGAUGCAAAAACAAAAGAGCCUUUAUUGUGAGUUAACUGGGGCCUCUCCCUCCAUUUGAGGCUGAAACAAAGCAGGAGAAAUCCUGAGCAGCAUGGGGUGAGGGCUUUAACAGUGGCUAGACAAAAGGGGCUUGGGGUACUUCAAAACUGCAUAGUUACAGACUUGGGAUUGGCUCAAGCCCUAGUUUGGGUAUCUGGACUGAGCUAGCUGGCUAUUUUGCUACUAGGUAUUGCAACAUUUUAGUCUCAGCAGAACAACAUCUGGAGUUGUUUGUUCCUUCCUGAUUAGCCUUUCCUUGUUGGUGGUAGUUGUUCAUGGUUCUCUCUGUAACUAGGGUUAAGGUCAGGGGCAGUGGGGGGUUGGGGGUCAGGCAUCCUGCUCAGGUCUUUUUGCUAUGGCUGUAGUUCUACAGAGGCUGUCACUUUUAGCAUCUGACUCAGACACCUCUCUGAACUUCUCUGUUUACAGGAUUCUCUUUGUGGUGCCAGCUCAAAGGCAGUUUGCAAUAGGUUUCAUUAAUUUCCUAGGAAGCGUUUGACUGCACACCCAGCAAUUGGUCAUAGCUGUUCUUUGUGGUGGAAGGGACUGGGUGGGUUGACCCAGUAGGCCUGCAAUAACACACCCCACCCCUAAGGAUGGGAGAGGUGUCUACAAGAACUCAAUUGUCACACUUAUUAUCCUUCUGAUUUAUGUGUUAACUGUUCCUCUUGUGAUGAGGGCUGGCUCAGGGCCAGGCUGGUGGCUCUCACUUAUUCACUUCAGGUGCUCCUUGCCAUUGGUGGUCACUGACCAGAGCUCUGUGUCCUCUUCCUCCUUAAGCUCUCCUGGCCAGUCUCUACAAUGUGUGUAACCUUGUGUUGAUGUCACAAAGGGCCCUUUCAGAGUCAGAGGCUGAAAGGAGAUAAGGGGAGGAGAGAGCAGCAUUUUCCCAGAGUCCUCUGGGGUGUCCCAUGUGCACUGCAUUGGUAGGACAGAUGGGCUGGGUCAGCAGCUGGCAGGGGGCUCCAUCUCCAUGGAGCAACCCUACCGUGGUCAUCUCAUUCUGUACUCCAGGAGCUGAGUUACCUUACCCAUUUUCCACAUUGGCCUCAGUUUCCCACCUUCAUGAACUAUGGUGAUAUUUUAUUUGUAUUAAAAUGUUAUUUGUGGGGCUGGAGAGAUGGCUCAGGGGUUAAGAGCACUGACUGCUCUUCCAGAGGUCCUGAGUUCAAUUCCCAGCAACCACAUGGUGGCUCACAACCAUCUGUAAUGGGAUCUGGUGCCCUCUUCUGGCCUGCGGUCAUACAU
Peromyscus eremicus (cactus mouse) is the source of this 1707-nucleotide long non-coding RNA. RefSeq lists it as uncharacterized. The record is from RefSeq and is a predicted model, not a curated record. Lineage: Eukaryota; Metazoa; Chordata; Mammalia; Rodentia; Cricetidae. The transcript has 3 exons.